RNAcentral lists this ribosomal RNA (485 nucleotides) under uncultured bacterium. RNAcentral describes it as "partial 16S ribosomal RNA". It matches the Rfam family "Bacterial small subunit ribosomal RNA", at positions 28 to 523 of the family's 1533-position model. The record is from RNAcentral.
GACGAACGCUGGCGGCGUGCUUAACACAUGCAAGUCGAACGGUGAAAGCGGAGCUUGCUCCGCUGGAUCAGUGGCGAACGGGUGAGUAACACGUGGGCAACCUGCCCCUCACUUCGGGAUAACUCCGGGAAACCGGGGCUAAUACCGGAUAUGACCUCCUUGGGCAUCCUUGGAGGUGGAAAGUUUUUCGGUGAGGGAUGGGCCCGCGACCUAUCAGCUUGUUGGGGAGGUAGUGGCUCACCAAGGCGACGACGGGUAGCCGGCCUGAGAGGGCGACAGGCCACACUGGGACUGAGACACGGCCCAGACUCCUACGGGAGGCAGCAGUGGGGAAUAUUGCGCAAUGGGCGAAAGCCUGACGCAGCAACGCCGCGUGCGGGAUGACGGCCUUCGGGUUGUAAACCGCUUUCAGCAGGGAAGAAGCCGCAAGGUGACGGUACCUGCAGAAGAAGCACCGGCUAACUACGUGCCAGCCGCCGCCGUAA